Molecule: ribosomal RNA, 279 nt
Filed under: uncultured bacterium
Lineage: Bacteria
Description: partial 16S ribosomal RNA
Rfam family: Bacterial small subunit ribosomal RNA
Source: RNAcentral
UGCCAGCCGCCGCGGUAAUACGGAGGGUGCUAGCGUUGUUCGGAAUUACUGGGCGUAAAGGGCGCGUAGGCGGCUUGUCAAGUUGGAAGUGAAAUCCCGGGGCUCAACCCCGGAACUGCUUUCAAAACUGGCUAGCUUGAGUUAUGUAGAGGAUAGUGGAAUUCCCAAUGUAGAGGUGAAAUUCGUAGAUAUUGGGAGGAACACCAGAAGCGAAGGCGACUAUCUGGGCAUAUACUGACGCUGAGGCGCGAAAGUGUGGGGAGCAAACAGGAUUAGAUA